UGGGUCCUACGGGACGCAGCAGUGGGGAAUAUUGCACAAUGGGGGAAACCCUGAUGCAGCAACGCCGCGUGAGUGAAGAAGUAUUUCGGUAUGUAAAGCUCUAUCAGCAGGGAAGAAAAUGACGGUACCUGAGUAAGAAGCCCCGGCUAACUACGUGCCAGCAGCCGCGGUAAUACGUAUGGGGCAAGCGUUAUCCGGAUUUACUGGGUGUAAAGGGAGCGUAGGCGGCCUGGCAAGCCUGAUGCGAAAUACCGGGGCCCAACCCCGGCGCUGCAUUGGGAACUGCCAGGCUGGAGUGCCGGAGG
Molecule: ribosomal RNA, 305 nt
Filed under: uncultured bacterium
Lineage: Bacteria
Description: bacterial SSU rRNA
Rfam family: Bacterial small subunit ribosomal RNA
Source: RNAcentral